AUGUGGAAAUGUUUUGCAGAUGCAGUUUAUUUGUUGCCAUUAUUUUAUAUUUUAAUCAUUUGCAGUUUUCUGUGAGGGUGAAUUAUAAGGAAUGAACUCAGGUCUUCAGUAAGAAGCUUUAGCAACUGAGCUAUCCCUGUCUUUCCCAUUUCUUGACAGGGUAAUCUGGAAAGGGAAUUGUUUCACAUUUCUCAUCUCUGCCAGAGGAUGGUGUGUGACCCUGGGAGGGGGUGUGCUACACACGUAUAUGACAGAUCACAGCAUCACAGUAGAUAUCCCUCCAACGUUACUCAAAAGUUCUGGAUUGCUGUUGUGUGUCAAGAUUUUACUGGGGAGAGGAUACACAUAUCUACUCACAGCUACUUUCCUCUGAUACGGAGCCCAGGAUGGACUAAAGUACAACUUGAUGAAACAGUGAGUUGUACUGAGGUCACUCACAGGAAUGUAGGCGAGUAGUUACUUACCACAGCAGAAACACAUCACAGAGAGCUGCAUCGCCAAAAUGUGUCCCCAAAUGGAUACCAGCUCAUAACGGUUGGAAUGUGGAGCACGCUGCAGAGCCAGCAGUUCAACAGACUGCAGAGUGUCCUCUCCAAGUGGCUCUGAUCUAAACCUCUUCCAGGCAGCUCAGCUGUUUUCUGCUUUUUCCAGGCAGGAAGCUGUUCUGGGUUCAGAGUUUUCUGUGUAGUUUGUGCUUAUCUGAGAAUUUUCUUUCCAAGUUGACUUGUCUGAGAGCUCUCUUCAGCAUUCUAUUGUUUAAUCUUAGGAGGGAGGG
This 775-nucleotide long non-coding RNA is filed under the name Rattus norvegicus (Norway rat). RNAcentral describes it as "long non-coding RNA NONRATT032423". Lineage: Eukaryota; Metazoa; Chordata; Mammalia; Rodentia; Muridae. The record is from RNAcentral.